Molecule: ribosomal RNA, 274 nt
Filed under: uncultured bacterium
Lineage: Bacteria
Description: partial 16S ribosomal RNA
Rfam family: Bacterial small subunit ribosomal RNA
Source: RNAcentral
AUACAGAGGGUGCGAGCGUUAAUCGGAAUUACUGGGCGUAAAGCGCGCGUAGGUGGCUUAUUAAGUCAGAUGUGAAAUCCCCGGGCUCAACCUGGGAACUGCAUCUGAUACUGGUAAGCUAGAGUUUUGGAGAGGGAAGUAGAAUUUCAGGUGUAGCGGUGAAAUGCAUAGAGAUCUGAAGGAAUACCAGUGGCGAAGGCGACUUCCUGGCCAAAAACUGACGCUGAGAUGCGAAAGCGUGGGUAGCAAACGGGAUUAGAAACCCCAGUAGUCC